UUAGCUCAUAUUUGUAUGGAAUGGAAUCGUUUACCUACGUUUGCCGCUAGGGGCGCUGUUCCAACUGCAUACAAAGUUAGGUUA
Molecule: microRNA precursor, 84 nt
Filed under: Bombyx mori (domestic silkworm)
Lineage: Eukaryota; Metazoa; Arthropoda; Insecta; Lepidoptera; Bombycidae
Description: mir-2807 microRNA precursor family
Rfam family: mir-2807 microRNA precursor family
Source: Rfam by way of RNAcentral